This 130-nucleotide non-coding RNA is filed under the name Photobacterium profundum. RNAcentral's name for it is "TPP sequence". It matches the Rfam family "TPP riboswitch aptamer (THI element)". Rfam says of the family: Vitamin B(1) in its active form thiamin pyrophosphate (TPP) is an essential coenzyme that is synthesised by coupling of pyrimidine and thiazole moieties in bacteria. The previously detected thiamin-regulatory element, thi box was extended, resulting in a new, highly conserved RNA secondary structure, the THI element, which is widely distributed in eubacteria and also occurs in some archaea. Lineage: Bacteria; Pseudomonadati; Pseudomonadota; Gammaproteobacteria; Vibrionales; Vibrionaceae. The record is from RNAcentral. RNAcentral also lists the same sequence under 1 other name.
CCGUUCUCAUUGGGGAGCCCGUAUUUAUACAGAUGCACGUAGCAACUAGAGUACAGGCUGAGAUUGCAUCGCAGAACCCACAGAACCUGAACCAGGUCAUGCUGGCGUAGGAAUUGAGAAAAGAAGGUCG